UAGAGAUAGCUGGUUAUUCAAGAAAAGGAUAUAAGUCCAACUUUAAGCUUUAAUAUAAUAAUAAAUACACCAAUAAGCUUAAAAUCUAUUCAAAUAAGGUACAGCCUAUUUGAAACAGGAUACAACCUACAACAGCGGGUAACACCUAAAUAAGUAUAAUCAAGUAGGCCUAAGAGCAGCCACCUUUUAAAUAGCGUUAAAGCCUUAUUAUACCACAUUACCAAUUCCAACCCAAACCAGAAACCCCUUACCAAUAUUGAAUGACUCUAUAAUUAUAUAGAAGACACUAUGUCUGAACUAGUAACAAGAAUAACUUCUCCACAACGUAAACGUAAGCCGGAAUGAACCUCUCACCGGCAAUUACCGCCAAUGAAUCAAUAGUAACAACUAAACAAGAAAACCUUACUUAUUUAAGCGUUAACCUUACACUAGAACCCUCCUGGAAAGAUUAAAAAAAGCGGAAGGAACUCGGCAAAUAUUAAUCCCGCCUGUUUACCAA
Molecule: ribosomal RNA, 499 nt
Filed under: Xenorhina varia
Lineage: Eukaryota; Metazoa; Chordata; Amphibia; Anura; Microhylidae
Description: partial 16S ribosomal RNA
Source: RNAcentral